AACGAACGCUGGCGGCAGGCCUAACACAUGCAAGUCGAGCGAGACCUUCGGGUCUAGCGGCGGACGGGUGAGUAACGCGUGGGAACGUGCCCUUUGGUACGGAAUAGCCCCGGGAAACUGGGAGUAAUACCGUAUAAGCUCUUCGGAGGAAAGAUUUAUCGCCAAAGGAUCGGCCCGCGUUGGAUUAGGUAGUUGGUGGGGUAAUGGCCUACCAAGCCGACGAUCCAUAGCUGGUUUGAGAGGAUGAUCAGCCACACUGGGACUGAGACACGGCCCAGACUCCUACGGGAGGCAGCAGUGGGGAAUUUUGGACAAUGGGGGGAAACCCUGAUCCAGCAAUGCCGCGUGAGUGAAGAAGGCCUUCGGUUGUAAGACUCUUUGUCAGGAAGAAACGACCGGCUCUAACACAGUCCGGG
RNAcentral lists this ribosomal RNA (416 nucleotides) under uncultured bacterium. Its description in RNAcentral is "bacterial SSU rRNA". It matches the Rfam family "Bacterial small subunit ribosomal RNA", at positions 29 to 469 of the family's 1533-position model. The record is from RNAcentral.